RNAcentral lists this ribosomal RNA (1268 nucleotides) under Histioteuthis reversa. RNAcentral's name for it is "16S ribosomal RNA". The stretch from base 577 to 1268 matches the Rfam family "Archaeal large subunit ribosomal RNA", at positions 1423 to 2813 of the family's 2987-position model. The record is from RNAcentral. Lineage: Eukaryota; Metazoa; Mollusca; Cephalopoda; Oegopsida; Histioteuthidae.
AAAAAAGGUUGUUUAAUGUAAAUUGAUUGUUUAUUGAGUAUAAGUAGUAUAGAAAUAUAUGUGGUAGAAAGUACUGUAAAGGAAAAUUGUUAAUUGUAUUUUAGUAGUUAUUUAUUUUCGUACCUUUUGUAUAAUGGAUUAAUGAUUGUAGUUAUUUUAUAGUAAUAUCUCGAAGUAGAAGGAUUUACUUGAUGGGGAUAUGUUAACGUUGUAUAGUUAUAUAAUGACUGUUAAGUGGUAAUGAAAUGUUUAUCGAUUUCUAUGAUAGCUAGUUUAUUAGGGUAGAAUAUUUAAGUAUUAUAAUAUAAAUAUAAUAAAAAAUUAUAUUUAUAUUAGUUUAUUACAUGGGGGAUAAGCUUCAUGUAUAUUUAUAGAAUUGUUGUGUAGGAGUAUAAUUUAAGUAGAAUUAAUAACGUUUUUCUUUAAAAGUAGUUUAAAUUUUCUUUUAUAAAUUUAAAUUCAGGUUGGUAUCUAAUAAAUGUUUAUUAAUUAUUUUAUAAAUAUUUAUAAUGUUAGUAUGAGUAUUUGAUAUUAUUUUAUUGGUUUUAUAAUGUUAUAGAUGUAAAUAGUUUAUGUUAUAUAUUAAAAGGAAGUAGGGUAAAGGAAUUCGGCAAAUGUUAAUCUCGCCUGUUUAUCAAAAACAUGUCUCUUUGUUAUUUAUAUAUAAAGAGUCGGGCCUGCUCGGUGAUUAAUUUUUAACAGCUGCGGUAUUUUAACUGUACUAAGGUAGCAUAAUAAUUUGCCUUAUAAUUUGAGGCUAGAAUGAAUGGUUUGACGAAGGUUAAUCUGUCUCUACUUUAUUUUUUAGAAUUUAAUUUUUAUAGUGAAAAAGCUUGAAUUUUUUAAAGGGACGAGAAGACCCUAAUGAGCUUAUAAUUUUAUGUUUGUCAUUAAUAUUAGUGAGGUGAAAUAUAAAUUUUAAUUGGGGUGAUUGAGGAAUAAAAGUAUAUAAGUAACUUCCUUAAACUUAAUGUUGUUGGAUAAAGUAACCAAUAUUUUUUUGCUUAUAAUAUAGUUACCAUAGGGAUAACAGCGUAAUUUGUUUAGAGAGUUCUUAUUGAAAAACAAGAUUGCGACCUCGAUGUUGGAUUAAAGUAACCUUAAGGUGCAGAAGCUUUAAUAGGUAAAUCUGUUCGAUUUUUAAAACUUUACAUGAUCUGAGUUCAGACCGGCGUGAGCCAGGUUGGUUUCUAUCUUUUAAAUUGAUUAAUAUUUCUUUUAGUACGAGAGGACCAAGGAUAAUUAAAUUUAUUUAUUAUAAUACAAAG